AUUCCAGCUCCAAUAGCGAAUACUAAUUCUGCUGCAGUUAAAAAGCUCGUAGUUGAAUAUCUGGCGUUGGGAAGCCCUGCCCGCCGCGAUUCGCGUGUGAGUUGUGGGGCGUCCCCGCCAUCCUGUGUGGGAGCCCGCCUACCCUUCAUUGGGCCGGGCGGUGCGAGCACACUCAGUUACUUUGAGAAAAUCUGCGCGUUCAAAGCAGGCACACGCUAUGAAAGCUUCAGCAUGGAAUAACAAGAUAGGACCUGGGUCUCUAUUUUGUUGGUUUCUAGGAUCGAGGUGAUGAUUGAUAGGGACAGUUGGGGGUGCUUGUAUUUAACGGCCAGAGGUGAAAUUCUUGGAUUCGUUAAAGACAAACUACUGCGAAAGCAUUCACCAAGGAUGUCUUCAUUG
Molecule: ribosomal RNA, 399 nt
Filed under: Metromonas sp.
Lineage: Eukaryota; Cercozoa; Imbricatea; Metromonadea
Description: partial small subunit ribosomal RNA
Rfam family: Eukaryotic small subunit ribosomal RNA
Source: RNAcentral